This 273-nucleotide ribosomal RNA is filed under the name uncultured bacterium. Its description in RNAcentral is "partial 16S ribosomal RNA". It matches the Rfam family "Bacterial small subunit ribosomal RNA", at positions 524 to 796 of the family's 1533-position model. The record is from RNAcentral.
UACGUAGGUGGCGAGCGUUAUCCGGAAUUACUGGGCGUAAAGCGCACGCAGGCGGUUAGGCAAGUUCGACGUGAAAGCUCCCGGCUUAACUGGGAGAGGUCGUUGAAAACUGCCUAGCUUGAGGCAAUGAGAGGGGUGUAGAAUUCCCGGUGUAGUGGUGGAAUGCGUAGAUAUCGGGGGGAAUACCAGUGGCGAAAGCGGCACCCUAGCGUUGUUCUGACGCUCAUGUGCGAAAGCGUGGGGAGCGAACGGGAUUAGAAACCCCUGUAGUCC